Long non-coding RNA from Cyanistes caeruleus (blue tit), 1612 nucleotides. Lineage: Eukaryota; Metazoa; Chordata; Aves; Passeriformes; Paridae. The record is from Ensembl.
AAGUGAAACACUAAAUUAGGUACUUUUAAAACCCUUCACCAUGACACUACAAACUGAGAACGAUUAUUCUGUCUUACUCACUUGUAACUUUUCUAGGUUCAAGAAAGCACUUUACUGGUAGAAAAAUGACUUCAUUUCCCAGGGUUCCUUUCCUUUUCAUUUUAUCAGAGAUUUAUGAUUUAUCAGCUUUUAUGAUGAAACAACAGCAAUGCUAAGUUGAAACUCUGGCAGCACUUUCUGCAUGGUUUGAGCCCUGUGAGCUGGUUGUUCCGUGAGGCUGCCAGUUUGCCCGGGGAGGCUGGAGCAGCAGCACUGCCAGCCAGGCUUGGACCCACACAUGAAGGCAAAGAGAAUUUAUGAAUAUUUAAAAUCUCAUUAAUUUUAACCAAAGUCCUAAAUGAUUGAUUAAAUACUCUUUUCAAAACUCCGACUGUUUAAAAAUCAAUUUGACAGUAACAUCCACGGCUCGGAAUAAAGCUGCUUGAAAAGUCGAACAUGAAAAGUAGAAAAUCACACCUAAUCAUUCUUUAUUGGUAAUACAAUUUAAGACAGAAAAUGCUUUUUACUAUUAAAUAUGGCAAGCAUGUUUUAUAAAUAUAAUUGCCAUUUUCCAGUCAUGGUUUUACACAUUGCAGUCGACAUUUAAUUUCUGUCCUUGCUUCAUAUAAGUGAAAUCUCAAGUAAAAAAACAACCACUCUCCUUUAAUGUCAUUAACCUUUUCUGAAGAAUUUAAAAAGCAAACCAUGAGAUUCUAGAGCUAACUAAGUGCUCCACAGCUGUGUGAGAGACAGUAUCACUUUCUGGUUAAGAUACAACCAUGCCAAAUUUUACAAGUGUGUGACUAGCUGCAAGCCAUGUGUUUUGUAUUACUCUUCCUAAUCAACGGGAAUGAGCUCUCACUUAGGAAAAGUUCAAAUUAUUUAAUUCAAAUUUCCUUGUUUAUCACUUGAAUCAUGAGCACAACCAGUGAUUUAAAUCACUUCAGCUGCAAAGAGUCCUUGCUGAGUGGCAGCCAGCAUCCUCCGGGCUGCGGGAUGCUGGUGGCCGAUGGAGCUGUGACACGGCGAGCUCCGGCUGGGGAGCACCGGGACAGCCACGGAUCCAGGAUUCACCUGUGGGGCCAUGUGGAGCCAGCUCCCAACCAGGCACUGGUCACUCAGAUCCCAUCAGCUGCCACAGGCAGGUUCUGGUGCUGGCUGCCAAUGCACACAACCAGUGGAGCAAAUGAGAGCCUGUUUCAACUUGCAAGGGUGCAAAACUCAGCAUGAGGAGAGCAGGCAGACCAAGAUCCUCAUGAUGUGGUUGAAGUGCUGAAUCUGGCAGCAGUGUUAAUCAAGAGCAAGGUCAUGCAACUCAUUCAAAUAUCCAGCCAUGAUUCUCUAGUGCCCACUUGAUAUUAGAUUUUAUAUCAACUCACCUGCAGAAAUAUAUGAAAUUUGUGCAAAAAAAAAUCCAUCUUUUUAGCUCUCUUCAUUUACAGGCAUUAUUAUUUCAACAGAAUAUAAUUAGCAAAAGUGCUUCUUGUAUUUUUUGGGAACAUAAUAGUUCCAGUUACUUAGACAGAAAAAAAAUUAGAAUAAAACUAGCUAGCUAAAGAAUUGUCUGUUAAAA